UCGAGGGGUAUUGGUUUUCGGACCAAGAGACCGGCGCACGGGUGCGUAACGCGUAUGCAAUCUACCUUUUGCAGAGGGAUAGCCCAGAGAAAUUUGGAUUAAUACCUCAUAGUAUAGUACCUUGGCAUCAAGGAACUAUUAAAGUCACAACGGCAAAAGAUGAGCAUGCGUCCCAUUAGCUAGUUGGUAAGGUAACGGCUUACCAAGGCGACGAUGGGUAGGGGUCCUGAGAGGGAGAUCCCCCACACUGGUACUGAGACACGGACCAGACUCCUACGGGAGGCAGCAGUGAGGAAUAUUGGACAAUGGGCGCAAGCCUGAUCCAGCCAUGCCGCGUGCAGGAUGACGGUCCUAUGGAUUGUAAACUGCUUUUAUACAGGAAGAAACACUGGUUCGUGAACCAGCUUGACGGUACUGUAAGAAUAAGGAUCGGCUAACUCCGUGCCAGCAGCCGCGGUAAUACGGAGGAUCCAAGCGUUAUCCGGAAUCAUUGGGUUUAAAGGGUCCGUAGGCGGUUUGGUAAGUCAGUGGUGAAAGCCCAUCGCUCAACGGUGGAACGGCCAUUGAUACUGCCAGACUUGAAUUACUGGGAAGUAACUAGAAUAUGUAGUGUAGCGGUGAAAUGCUUAGAGAUUACAUGGAAUACCAAUUGCGAAGGCAGGUUACUACCAGUGGAUUGACGCUGAUGGACGAAAGCGUG
RNAcentral lists this ribosomal RNA (700 nucleotides) under uncultured Hyphomicrobiaceae bacterium. RNAcentral describes it as "bacterial SSU rRNA". It matches the Rfam family "Bacterial small subunit ribosomal RNA", at positions 62 to 763 of the family's 1533-position model. The record is from RNAcentral. Lineage: Bacteria; Pseudomonadati; Pseudomonadota; Alphaproteobacteria; Hyphomicrobiales; Hyphomicrobiaceae.